UCCUCGUUAGUAUAGUGGGUGAGUAUCCCCGCCUGUCACGCGGGAGACCGGGGUUCGAUUCCCCGACGGGGAG
Ciona savignyi (Pacific transparent sea squirt) is the source of this 73-nucleotide non-coding RNA. NCBI's taxonomy places the organism in Eukaryota, Metazoa, Chordata, Ascidiacea, Phlebobranchia, Cionidae. The record is from Rfam.